RNAcentral lists this unclassified non-coding RNA (208 nucleotides) under Hevea brasiliensis (rubber tree). Lineage: Eukaryota; Viridiplantae; Streptophyta; Magnoliopsida; Malpighiales; Euphorbiaceae. The record is from RNAcentral.
AAGAAAUCAAGAAACAAAGAUGUCUUCAAAACUUUGUUUCAACAAGACACUAAAAUUCAGACCCUAUUAAUUAUUUUCAACAUUGAAGAACUUUCUUCCCAUUUUUCAGGUGGCAAACCAUAAUUGCAUGUCAAAAUGAAAGAAAAGCUACACAAAUUAGAAACUCACCUUCUACAGCAAUAACGGACCUGAGGAGAGAGAGACUGCA